Molecule: long non-coding RNA, 1785 nt
Organism: Bufo bufo (common toad)
Lineage: Eukaryota; Metazoa; Chordata; Amphibia; Anura; Bufonidae
Exons: 4
Source: RefSeq, a predicted model, not a curated record
CAUUUUUUAUUUUUUUUUUCACCUUUUUCCGUCUGCGCAGGACGGAUCCGGCAUUCUGGUAAGUGUUCGGUUUUUUGGGCCAGAGAUAAAAUCGUCGCAUGCUGUGGAUUUAUCUCUUGCCUGAUCAGUCAAAAAGACUGAACUGAAGACAUCCUGAACGGAUUGCUCUCCAUUCAGAAUGCAUGGGGAUAUAUGCCUGAUCAGUUCUUUUCCGGAUUUGACACUAGGACGGAACUCAGCGCCGGAAAAGAAUAACGCUUGUGUGAAAGUAGUCUAACAUUGUCAAGUGUACCUUGCACUCCCUCCUGCGAACACCCAGCUGUCCAUUUAUUCAUACAUACUCAGAAGGAUUAAUAGAAUAGUGUACCAUCGAGACCCAAGAAAAAAAAAAAGCUCCAGUUAUCUUAUGGUGUUUGCUGGCAUUUAUGAAAACGGAAAGCUUACAGGCCUGGGUUAAAAGUAACCUGUCACCAGGACACAUAGGUUUAUGCUUUGCAUGAUGCUUAGAAACUUGUUUCCAUCUAAGCCCCAUCACCAAAUCAGUACUUGGGGACAUCACAUGCUCCUGGACCCACCAGAGUUUUGGAAGAACAUGCAACAUGACCUUCCUAGAUGGUUAGAGGUGGCUCCUCAAGAGAGGUAAAGCUACUGUCUGCAUUAGUAUAUACACGUGUCCUUCUGUGCCCAUAAUCUGACUUUUAGUGGUUAGAAUCGUAUUUGGUCACCUUAUUUUAAGGGAUCUGUCCUAGUGCCUCUCCCUUAUUUGCUACAUAUACUGUAAUAUAGUAAGUAAACCUGAGGUCCGCUGUGAAGAGGAUGUUAUCAGUCUAUGUUGUCCUAUGGCAAGGCAGGAUCAGGACACAUCUGCUCUCAUAUUGGUCAGAACGGCAAAAAAAAAAAUAUUGUACCUUUUUGCUAAUAAGAGCAAUCAAAGAAUCCACCAGGCCCAUAGUGUAUUGAGGAGGACAGUGAUGGAUGCCUGGCUGAUGGUUUUCUGCAUACACAGCUGUGAGAAGACCACACUCUGAUGAUGGAUCUGCGUUACCUUCAUGCUCUGGGUCAAUAGGAUUACAAUACCACAUAUAUAUAGGUUUUUCUUGUUCUAUAAACUGAAAAAAAAACAAAACUUUUUUUUUUCCUCAUCACCAUAUUCUGAUCCCAUAACUUUUUAUUUUAUAAGUCAGUCUCUGGAGCUUAUUUUUUUUUGCAGGGUGAUUUGUAGUUUUUAUAGAUACCAUACCCCCCCAUUACAGUGUUAACCAUAUGGCAUAGAAUGGGCAUUUUGGGAUAUGGUGUUGUGUGUCUUAUUUUUUGGGGUUUAUUAUGGGGAAAGAGUGUUGAUUAUUAUUAUUUUUUUUUUAAAUACACUAAGCCCCCCUUCAAGGGCUUUUGACAUGGACUAGACUUCUAAGAAUCACCUCACACUGCAAUAAAUUACUAACGCAUUGUGAGGGACUUGCACUGUUUUCCUAUUGAGCACUGCCACCUGCAGUGCUCAAUGCCAAUUACAGCUGUACUACACUGGAAGUCUUCCACGAGAGCCAGCCUAACAGAAACAACGCACACCUUCCUUGAUCUUUGCGCGGGGAAGCCAUUUUGGCUCCAGGAGCGCAGCGCUCCCGGGUAAAAGUUGCCUGAGAUACUGUGGGCUUAAAGGGGGGCCUUACACUUAUACUGAAUACAUACCCUUCUAAAGCCAAUUGAGUAUAUUCCAAGGUUGGGUACAACACUUCUCCCUCUCUCUCCCUCCCCCUUUUUUUUUUUUUCCUUCUUCUAUACUUGUCC